GCCAGGUGUGGUGGCCCACACUUGUAGUUCCCACUGCUUGGACUAAGGCAAGGAAAUUGCUUGAGCCCAGGAGUUCAAGGCCAGGCUGGGCAACAUAGUGAGACCCUGUCUUGU
RNAcentral lists this small RNA (114 nucleotides) under Marmota monax (woodchuck). Lineage: Eukaryota; Metazoa; Chordata; Mammalia; Rodentia; Sciuridae. The record is from RNAcentral.